UGGGGAAUUUUGCGCAAUGGGGGAAACCCUGACGCAGCAACGCCGCGUGGAGGAUGAAGUACUUCGGUACGUAAACUCCUUUCGAUCGGGACGAUUAUGACGGUACCGAGAGAAGAAGUCCCGGCUAACUUCGUGCCAGCAGCCGCGGUAAUACGAGGGGGGCGAGCGUUGUUCGGAAUUAUUGGGCGUAAAGGGUGCGUAGGCGGUUUGGUAAGUCUGAUGUGAAAUCUAUGGGCUCAACUCAUAGUCUGCAUCGGAAACUGCCGGGCUUGAGUAUGGGAGAGGUGAGUGGAAUUCCUGGUGUAGCGGUGAAUGCGUAGAUAUCAGGAGGAACACCUGUGGCGAAAGCGGCUCACUGGACCAUAACUGACGCUGAUGCACGAAAGCUAGGGGAGCAAACAGGAUUAGAUACCCUGGUAGUCCUAGCCCUAAACGAUGACUGCUUGGUGUGACGGGUACCCAAUCCCGCCGUGCCGUAGCUAACGCGUUAAGCAGUCCGCCUGGGGAGUACGGUCGCAAGGCUGAAACUUAAAUGAAUUGACGGGGUCAUAGCUGUUUCCU
RNAcentral lists this ribosomal RNA (561 nucleotides) under uncultured bacterium. RNAcentral describes it as "partial 16S ribosomal RNA". It matches the Rfam family "Bacterial small subunit ribosomal RNA", at positions 355 to 1375 of the family's 1533-position model. The record is from RNAcentral.